RNAcentral lists this ribosomal RNA (359 nucleotides) under Burkholderia cepacia. RNAcentral's name for it is "bacterial SSU rRNA". It matches the Rfam family "Bacterial small subunit ribosomal RNA", at positions 192 to 529 of the family's 1533-position model. Lineage: Bacteria; Pseudomonadati; Pseudomonadota; Betaproteobacteria; Burkholderiales; Burkholderiaceae. The record is from RNAcentral.
AUCUACGGAUGAAAGCGGGGGACUUUUCGGGCCUCGCGCUAUAGGGUUGGCCGAUGGCUGAUAAGCUUAGUUGGGUGGGGUAAAGGCCUACCAAGGCGACGAUCAGUAGCUGGUUUGAGAGGACGACCAGCCACACUGGGACUGAGACACGGCCCAGACUCCUACGGGAGGCAGCAGUGGGGAAUUUUGGACAAUGGGGGAAAGCCUGAUCCAGCAAUGCCGCGUGUGUGAAGAAGACCAUCGGGUUGUAAAGCACUUUUGUCCGGAAAGAAAUCCUUGGCUCUAAUACAGUCGGGGGAUGACGGUACCGGAAGAAUAAGCACCGGCUAACUACGUCCCAGCAGCCGCGGUAAUACGUA